GGGAUCCUAAUGUGCGCUGAAGCGACUGCAGGCAAAUUCCUGCUUGUAAAGUGUGAUAGCUGGGCGAGGUCAUCCUCCAGGAACUCGGGGGUGGAACCGUGGGUAUCGUUAGGCCUGAAUCACUCGGGCUGUAGCCCUGAGUAUUUUAGCCUCGUUGCCAAUCAUCCUUCGAAAAAAAAACAAAAACAAACAAACCGUCAAGCCUCAGCACAAGAAAUGAAAUCACGUCGGUCCAGUUCCAGAAGAGGAAUGAUGAGGCAAACGUGUUCUGCCCGCUGGAGGACGGACCCCCCCAAUAGGCCCUGGGCUCUGGAAAGGAACAGUCCAGGGUUUGGCUGCUGUCUCACGUCACCGAAAUACCAACAUAAGUUCUGCAUUUCUCCCAGAACAGAAGAAGAAAUUUGACCGUCAUAUUUCUAUAUUGUCCUUUACUUGUACUGCUCUUUUGUACAGCUUACAGUAUGAUUGUCAACCAGCUUUACUGUUUAAAUUCGUGUGGCUGCACUAACAUAUCGUGCCAAAUCCCUCGUACAAGCGUAUGUAAUAAAAUA
Long non-coding RNA from Brienomyrus brachyistius, 551 nucleotides. RefSeq lists it as uncharacterized. The record is from RefSeq and is a predicted model, not a curated record. The transcript is spliced from 3 exons. NCBI's taxonomy places the organism in Eukaryota, Metazoa, Chordata, Actinopteri, Osteoglossiformes, Mormyridae.